This 74-nucleotide transfer RNA is filed under the name Danionella translucida. It matches the Rfam family "tRNA". From Rfam's summary of the family: Transfer RNA (tRNA) molecules are approximately 80 nucleotides in length. Their secondary structure includes four short double-helical elements and three loops (D, anti-codon, and T loops). Further hydrogen bonds mediate the characteristic L-shaped molecular structure. tRNAs have two regions of fundamental functional importance: the anti-codon, which is responsible for specific mRNA codon recognition, and the 3' end, to which the tRNAs corresponding amino acid is attached (by aminoacyl-tRNA synthetases). tRNAs cope with the degeneracy of the genetic code in two manners: having more than one tRNA (with a specific anti-codon) for a particular amino acid; and 'wobble' base-pairing, i.e. permitting non-standard base-pairing at the 3rd anti-codon position. Lineage: Eukaryota; Metazoa; Chordata; Actinopteri; Cypriniformes; Danionidae. The record is from Rfam by way of RNAcentral. RNAcentral also lists the same sequence under 1 other name.
GGCCUGUUAGCUCAGCUGGUUAGAGCGUGGUGCUAAUAACGCCAAGGUUGUGGGAUCGAUCCCCACAUGGGCCA